RNAcentral lists this ribosomal RNA (861 nucleotides) under uncultured organism. RNAcentral describes it as "bacterial SSU rRNA". It matches the Rfam family "Bacterial small subunit ribosomal RNA", at positions 24 to 863 of the family's 1533-position model. The record is from RNAcentral.
UCAGGACGAACGUUGGCGGCGUGCUUACACAUGCAAGUCAAUGGGAAAGGUUGUCUUCGGACGGCCGAGUAUACUGGCGAACGGGUGAGUAACGCGUAGGUAACUUGCCUAUCAGUCUGGGAUAACACUGCUAACGCGGUGCUAAUACCGGGUAUACUGCAUAGAUCGCAUGUUUUUUGCAGGAAAGCGGGCCUCUGGAACAAGCUCGUGCUGAUAGAUAGACCUGCGUUCCAUUAGUUAGUUGGUAGGGUAACGGCCUACCAAGGCAGCGAUGGGUAGCCGGCCUGAGAGGGUGACCGGCCACACUGGGACUGAGAUACGGCCCAGACUCCUACGGGAGGCAGCAGUGAGGAAUAUUGCGCAAUGGACGAAAGUCUGACGCAGCAACGCCGCGUGAGGGAUGAAGCUUUUCGGAGUGUAAACCUCUGUUAGGAGGGAAGAACGUCUAUUAUUCGAACAGGGUGAUAGAGUGACGGUACCUCCAGAGAAAGCCCCGGCUAACUCCGUGCCAGCAGCCGCGGUAAUACGGGGGGGGCGAACGUUGUCCGGAAUUAUUGGGCGUAAAAGGCGCGUAGGCGGGAAGGUCAGUCAGAGGUGAAAGCUUGUGGCUUAACUGCAAGUUUGCCUUUGAUACUGCCAUUCUUGAGUUCGGAAGAGGGAAGUGGAAUUCCUGGUGUAGCGGUGAAAUGCGUAGAUAUCAGGAAGAACACCAGUGGCGAAGGCGGCUUCCUGGUCCGAUACUGACGCUGAUGCGCGAAAGCGUGGGGAGCAAACAGGAUUAGAUACCCUGGUAGUCCACGCUGUAAACGAUGGGUACUAGGUGUGGGGUUUAAUUACUCAGCGCCGGAGCUAACGCAUUAA